This 490-nucleotide ribosomal RNA is filed under the name uncultured bacterium. RNAcentral describes it as "partial 16S ribosomal RNA". It matches the Rfam family "Bacterial small subunit ribosomal RNA", at positions 28 to 507 of the family's 1533-position model. The record is from RNAcentral.
GAUGAACGCUAGCGGCAGGCCUAAUACAUGCAAGUCGAACGGGAUCCAGAUCAAAGCUUGCUUUGGUCUGGUGAGAGUGGCGCACGGGUGCGUAACGCGUGAGCAACCUACCCUUGUCAGGGGGAUAGCCCGGCGAAAGUCGGAUUAAUACCGCAUGACAUCAUUGAGAGGCAUCUUUCGAUGAUCAAAGAUUUAUCGGACAAGGAUGGGCUCGCGUGACAUUAGCUAGUUGGUAAGGUAACGGCUUACCAAGGCUGCGAUGUCUAGGGGCUCUGAGAGGAGAAUCCCCCACACUGGUACUGAGACACGGACCAGACUCCUACGGGAGGCAGCAGUAAGGAAUAUUAGGCAAUGGACGGAAGUCUGAACCAGCCAUGCCGCGUGCAGGAAGACGGCCCUAUGGGUUGUAAACUGCUUUUAUACGGGAACAAACGUCGGUACGUGUACCGGUCUGAGUGUACCGUAAGAAUAAGGAUCGGCUAACUCCGUG